Long non-coding RNA from Oncorhynchus tshawytscha (Chinook salmon), 550 nucleotides. The record is from Ensembl. NCBI's taxonomy places the organism in Eukaryota, Metazoa, Chordata, Actinopteri, Salmoniformes, Salmonidae.
CGGACUCGCUCCUGACCAGACCGAAAUAGUAACCUAAUCCAACAUUACUCGACCUACAAGUCUAGCUGACAGUGACUCUUCAACUUUGUUUGCUGAGAUGGUUGUUACAAAGAGAGAACUUACUUGUGAAUAAGUAGUAACUUCAUCGUCAUUGUACGAACGCAGUACGGCGGCUGGACCUCCUAAACAAGAACUUUUCAUAUGUCUGAGACCAGCCCCUCACGCCUCAUGGAGGGGCAUCCACUGUUUCCACAGAGGGGAGCCAUGUUCUUGAGGAUUGUGGUUGACUGAGUGAUAGCUGUAGAUGGAGAAACUACCACGUCAUGUUCAUUAGAAGAGUUAGCUGAAGUGUCCUGCUCCCUGACAGAGGGAAAGGUGCAGAAGGCUGUGCAGUACGCUGCUGGGGACACCAGCAUCAAUGAAGAGAUGCAGGUCUUCCAGACCCCAGAACCUGUAAAAGUGCUUUGUCUCUAGCAUGGUAAACAAAUGUAAUGCAAAUCCUUAUUAAACUGACAUACUACUGUUCAGGAGUAUUACAUUUUCUUAUUUU